UUUUUUUUUUUUUUUUUUUUUUUUUUCAAAUGAA
This 34-nucleotide non-coding RNA is filed under the name Prorocentrum micans. The record is from RNAcentral. Lineage: Eukaryota; Dinophyceae; Prorocentrales; Prorocentraceae.